AAGUCGUAACAAGGUUUCCGUAGGUGAACCUGCGGAAGGAUCAUUAACACGUUUCGAACGUUUUUGACCCAUUCUUAUUUUCCGUGCACCAUUUCGCGUCCGGCCUCCCAGCCGCCUACCGGGUUUACUCGGUUUGGCCUGUUGGGCGUCUUUAGGGAAUCCAAAAAAAAGAAGAGUUCACGCUCUACUUUUUUUUCCCAAUUGGCGUUGCCACCUCACCCAAACCCUUUAAUCUAACUGAUCUGAACUUUUAGUUGGACUAGGGACUUCGGUCUCUUUUACAACGACUUUACAACAAAUAACAACUCUUAACAACGGAUAUCUUGGUUCUC
Molecule: unclassified non-coding RNA, 332 nt
Filed under: fungal sp.
Lineage: Eukaryota; Fungi
Description: partial internal transcribed spacer region
Rfam family: Eukaryotic small subunit ribosomal RNA (bases 1-46)
Source: RNAcentral